RNAcentral lists this ribosomal RNA (425 nucleotides) under uncultured bacterium. RNAcentral describes it as "bacterial SSU rRNA". It matches the Rfam family "Bacterial small subunit ribosomal RNA", at positions 356 to 772 of the family's 1533-position model. The record is from RNAcentral.
AGGGAAUAUUGGUCAAUGGGUGAAAGCCUGAACCAGCCAUGCCGCGUGCAGGAAGACGGCCUUCUGGGUUGUAAAGCUCUUUUGUCAGGGAAGAACCGGUUCUGGCUAAUAUCCGGAGCUAAUGACGGUACCUGAAGAAUAAGCACCGGCUAACUACGUGCCAGCAGCCGCGGUAAUACGUAGGGUGCAAGCGUUAAUCGGAAUUACUGGGCGUAAAGCGUGCGCAGGCGGUCCGCUAAGACCGAUGUGAAAUCCCCGGGCUUAACCUGGGAACUGCAUUGGUGACUGGCGGGCUAGAGUGUGGCAGAGGGGGGUAGAAUUCCACGUGUAGCAGUGAAAUGCGUAGAUAUGCGGAGGAACACCGAUGGCGAAGGCAAUCCCCUGGGCCUGCACUGACGCUCAUGCACGAAAGCGUGGGGAGCAAA